Molecule: long non-coding RNA, 227 nt
Filed under: Mytilus galloprovincialis (Mediterranean mussel)
Lineage: Eukaryota; Metazoa; Mollusca; Bivalvia; Mytilida; Mytilidae
Source: RNAcentral
UUCGUGUUACUUGCUGCUAUUGAUCUGAUCUCCGGAUCUAAGGUAAGUAUGGUUUAUUGCGAUUCAUUCUGGUAUAUUUCUUAUCUUACAUGUUAUGCUAUUAUAUAUAGUGCCUAAAAUGGAAAUGAAAUGUGAAUAUCCAGACCGGUAAAAUACAGGCAACAUCACCUGGUUGGUAACUUUAUCAAGUAAUUGUAGUAUUCCCAUUUAGAAUAUCCACUGAAGAC